RNAcentral lists this ribosomal RNA (819 nucleotides) under uncultured bacterium. Its description in RNAcentral is "bacterial SSU rRNA". It matches the Rfam family "Bacterial small subunit ribosomal RNA", at positions 62 to 872 of the family's 1533-position model. The record is from RNAcentral.
ACGAGUUAUCUGACCUUCGGGGGACGAUAAACGGCGUCGAGCGGCGGACGGGUGAGUAAUGCCUAGGAAAUUGCCCUGAUGUGGGGAUAACCAUUGGAAACGAUGGCUAAUACCGCAUAAUGCCUACGGGGCAAAGAGGGGGACCUUCGGGCCUCUCGCGUCAGGAUAUGCCUAGGUGGGAUUAGCUAGUUGGUGAGGUAAUGGCUCACCAAGGCGACGAUCCCUAGCUGGUCUGAGAGGAUGAUCAGCCACACUGGAACUGAGACACGGUCCAGACUCCUACGGGAGGCAGCAGUGGGGAAUAUUGCACAAUGGGCGCAAGCCUGAUGCAGCCAUGCCGCGUGUGUGAAGAAGGCCUUCGGGUUGUAAAGCACUUUCAGUCGUGAGGAAGGUAGUGUAGUUAAUAGCUGCAUUAUUUGACGUUAGCGACAGAAGAAGCACCGGCUAACUCCGUGCCAGCAGCCGCGGUAAUACGGAGGGUGCGAGCGUUAAUCGGAAUUACUGGGCGUAAAGCGCAUGCAGGUGGUUUGUUAAGUCAGAUGUGAAAGCCCGGGGCUCAACCUCGGAAUAGCAUUUGAAACUGGCAGACUAGAGUACUGUAGAGGGGGGUAGAAUUUCAGGUGUAGCGGUGAAAUGCGUAGAGAUCUGAAGGAAUACCGGUGGCGAAGGCGGCCCCCUGGACAGAUACUGACACUCAGAUGCGAAAGCGUGGGGAGCAAACAGGAUUAGAUACCCUGGUAGUCCACGCCGUAAACGAUGUCCACUUGGAGGUUGUGGCCUUGAGCGUGGCUUUCGGAGCUAACGCGUUAAGUAGACCGC